Molecule: long non-coding RNA, 464 nt
Filed under: Danio rerio (zebrafish)
Lineage: Eukaryota; Metazoa; Chordata; Actinopteri; Cypriniformes; Danionidae
Description: lncRNA (ENSDARG00000117709.1)
Source: RNAcentral
AGAUCUCAGUCUGCCAGAGGAGGUGAUAUUCGGUGAGAAUCUACAGUGCUUCAAAAGCCAUCUGCCUUUAUUUCAAGCCAUGCUUCAGAGGCUGAAGAUCAUGACGGUCUCGGAUCCUGUUCUCAAUUCAACAGUGAAGGAUUUAGAAAGGAUUGUUUUCGGACAAUGUGCUUCAUACGACACAGUUUUAGACCAGGUAAAGCAUGCCACGUUAGCAGAAGGAAGUGUUACAGAAGACUUUAAACAAGAGGCAGUGCUGAAUGAAGAGACACUGAUGUUGCCUGUUGAAGUUCAUAUGGAUUCCUCUCAAAGACAAGCUGCCAGUUAUUCCUUUGCUGAGAUUCAGGAUUCUCUAAAUGUCAGCCCGGAAUCAAUCGAAGAGCAUUUGCCCUUAAAAGAUCUUCUUAAAGAAGGUAAAACAUGAUCUUUUUUAUAUAUAUUUAGGAAUUAAUAUUUAGAAAUAU